AACUCACUGGUCAAACCCUUGGACACCAGAAUAGUUGCAUGCAGUUUCCCAGGGAGCCAGAUAGCUCUAAAGCUUCCCACUUAAUUGAACCUAAAUGCACCCGUUUGCUGCAAUGUGGUGUUUUGGUAAUUUUACUAUU
Strigops habroptila (Kakapo) is the source of this 139-nucleotide long non-coding RNA. RefSeq lists it as uncharacterized. Lineage: Eukaryota; Metazoa; Chordata; Aves; Psittaciformes; Psittacidae. The record is from RefSeq and is a predicted model, not a curated record. The transcript is spliced from 2 exons.